UGAGGAAUAUUGGGCAAUGCCCGCAAGGGUGACCCAGCAACGCCGCGUGGAGGAUGAAUGUCGUAAGAUUGUAAACUCCUGUUAGAGGGGAAGAAUAGUACCGGUUGGACCGGUAUAUGACUGUACCCUCAGAGAAAGCCCCGGCUAACUACGUGCCAGCAGCCGCGGUAAUACGUAGGGGGCAAGCGUUGUCCGGAUUUACUGGGUGUAAAGGGCGCGCAGGCGGGAUAAAAAGUCAGUGGUGAAAUCCUACAGCUUAACUGUAGAACUGCCUUUGAUACUUUUAUGCUUGAGUUCGGGAGAGAGAGACGGAAGUCCAGGUGUAGUGGUGAAAUACGUAGAUAUCUGGAAGAACACCAGUUGCGAAGGCGGUCUCUUGGUCCGACACUGACGCUGAGCCGCGAAAGCGUGGGGAGCAAACA
RNAcentral lists this ribosomal RNA (422 nucleotides) under uncultured bacterium. RNAcentral's name for it is "bacterial SSU rRNA". It matches the Rfam family "Bacterial small subunit ribosomal RNA", at positions 355 to 774 of the family's 1533-position model. The record is from RNAcentral.